Paramuricea clavata is the source of this 87-nucleotide non-coding RNA. NCBI's taxonomy places the organism in Eukaryota, Metazoa, Cnidaria, Anthozoa, Malacalcyonacea, Plexauridae. The record is from the annotation of a GenBank genome assembly.
CAUCCGCAUAGGAAUCACCAGAAGGUGAAUAAUUUCGAAAUUGUAGGUUGCGAAAUUAUUCACCACCUGAUGAUUCCUAUACGGGUG